AACGGCCAUACCAUGCUGAAUAUACCGGUUCUCAUUAGAUCACCGAAGUCAAGCAUCAUUGGGCGCGGUCAGUACUUGGGUGGGGCACCACCUGGGAACACCGCGUGCCGUU
RNAcentral lists this ribosomal RNA (112 nucleotides) under Caerostris extrusa. The record is from RNAcentral. Lineage: Eukaryota; Metazoa; Arthropoda; Arachnida; Araneae; Araneidae.